GGUGAAUCCCGUCACAGAUCCUUCUGGUUCGAAACGGAAGCCUUAGCGGCCCGAAAGGGUGGCAGUCGGACGACUAUAAAUAUGAACAGACUGACUUAAUCGCUAGUCUUCCCGGUCCCAUGGGGGGGCCGGGGGGGCGACACUAUCAAAUUGCGGGAAACCCCUAAAGCUCGUGUUACUAAGCGGGGCGUCGAAAGACGUCCCGUGGCCAGGUUAAUUGCCUCGGGUACAGUCACAACACGCGAGAUGUUACAAUGGGCAAUCCGCAGCCAACGCCUAAGGCGAGUUCCGGCUCGCUACGGUAGGGGUUCACAGACUAGACGGUAGUGGGUGCGGUUCGAACAUUCGAAUGUGUUCGUCCCGUGCUUAAGAUAUAGUCGAUGCCUUCGCGAGAGCGAGGGGCGUUGCGGCCGUCGGUGCGCCCACGAGGCGUGUCCGCCGACCGUCGACAUCCAAAAGUUCCGUAGGUGAACCUGCGGAAGGAUCAUUAAAGAGUAAGGGUGCUCAGCGCCCGACCUCCAACCCUCUGUUGUUAAAACUACCUUGUUGCUUUGGCGGGACCGCUCCAGGUCCGUCCGAGCCGCCGGGGCCGUCAAAAGCCCAGGCGAGUUCCCGCCAGAGUUAAACCAAACUCUUGUUAAUUAAACCGGUCGUCUGAGUUAAAUUUUUGAAUAAAUCAAAACUUUCAACAACGGAUCUCUUGGUUCUCGCAUCGAUGAAGAACGCAGCGAAAUGCGAUAAGUAAUGUGAAUUGCAGAAUUCAGUGAAUCAUCGAAUCUUUGAACGCACAUUGCGCCCCUUGGUAUUCCGAGGGGCAUGCCUGUUCGAGCGUCAUUACACCACUCAAGCACAGCUUGGUAUUGGGCGUCCGUCUCCCUCGCGGGGGGCGCGCCUCAAAGACCUCGGCGGAGCUUCACCGGCUUCAGGCGUAGUAGAAUUUAUUCGAACGUCUUUUAACGGAGAGGACUCCUCAGCCGACCGAAACCUUUUAUUUUUUCUAGGUUGACCUCGGAUCAGGUAGGGAUACCCGCUGAACUUAAGCAUAUCAAUAAGCCGGAGGAAAAGAAACCAACAGGGGAUUGCCCUAGUAACGG
Molecule: ribosomal RNA, 1094 nt
Filed under: Pseudoseptoria obscura
Lineage: Eukaryota; Fungi; Ascomycota; Dothideomycetes; Dothideales; Dothioraceae
Description: eukaryotic LSU rRNA
Rfam family: 5.8S ribosomal RNA (bases 681-834)
Source: RNAcentral